Molecule: ribosomal RNA, 460 nt
Filed under: uncultured bacterium
Lineage: Bacteria
Description: partial 16S ribosomal RNA
Rfam family: Bacterial small subunit ribosomal RNA
Source: RNAcentral
CCUACGGGAGGCUGCAGUGAGGAAUAUUGGUCAAUGGACGAGAGUCUGAACCAGCCAAGUAGCGUGAAGGAUGACUGCCCUAUGGGUUGUAAACUUCUUUUAUAUGGGAAUAAAACGUUCCACGUGUGGGAUUUUGUAUGUACCAUAUGAAUAAGGAUCGGCUAACUCCGUGCCAGCAGCCGCGGUAAUACGGAGGAUCCGAGCGUUAUCCGGAUUUAUUGGGUUUAAAGGGAGCGUAGGUGGAUUGUUAAGUCAGUUGUGAAAGUUUGCGGCUCAACCGUAAAAGUGCAGUUGAAACUGGCAGUCUUGAGUACAGUAGAGGUGGGCGGAAUUCGUGGUGUAGCGGUGAAAUGCUUAGAUAUCACGAAGAACUCCGAUUGCGAAGGCAGUUCACUGGACUGCAACUGACACUGAGGCUCGAAAGUGUGGGUAUCAAACAGGAUUAGAUACCCUUGUAGUC